This 254-nucleotide ribosomal RNA is filed under the name uncultured bacterium. RNAcentral's name for it is "partial 16S ribosomal RNA". It matches the Rfam family "Bacterial small subunit ribosomal RNA", at positions 524 to 776 of the family's 1533-position model. The record is from RNAcentral.
UACGUAGGGGCCAAGCGUUGUCCGGAUUUAUUGGGCGUAAAGAGCUUGUAGGCGGUUCGGCAAGUCGGGUGUGAAAACUCCGGGCUCAACCCGGAGACGCCACCCGAUACUGUCGUGACUGGAGUCCGGUAGGGGAGUGGGGAAUUCCUGGUGUAGCGGUGAAAUGCGCAGAUAUCAGGAGGAACACCGGUGGCGAAGGCGGGUCUCUGGGCCGAUACUGACGCUGAGGAGCGAAAGCGUGGGGAGCGAACAGG